This is a long non-coding RNA of Leopardus geoffroyi (Geoffroy's cat), 986 nucleotides long. RefSeq lists it as uncharacterized. The record is from RefSeq and is a predicted model, not a curated record. The transcript is spliced from 2 exons. NCBI's taxonomy places the organism in Eukaryota, Metazoa, Chordata, Mammalia, Carnivora, Felidae.
GUCUCCAAAAAAUGUAAAUGCCGAGGAAGAUCUCCCCUCAGAGACCUGAAAAUUUUAUCUGCAACCCACAGGGGUGGAUGUGUUUUCCGGGCCUGAGGGCCCCUGCCGACAAGAGUUCCAUUGUUGGCUGUUGGAAAACACACAGCCCUGCCCCUUCCACCCCACCCCCUUCCAGGAAGGGAACCGGCUUUCAGAAUUAGUCACGCUGCCAGCAUCCCACACAACAACCCCAUUGAAUCCAAAGGGCAGUCCUGCAGGGAGUGUUACGGAGAGAGUACGACAAACCCAGAUACCCUUCGUGGAGAUCCACUAAGUCUUAAUAAAUAUUUUGCCUCAUCUGCUUUCACUCCGUAUGUCGGUACCCUAGUUGUUGUUUGUUUUCUGCGUCUCCUGCAUCUCAGACCUCUUCUCCCGUUCUCCCGCCCCCGCUGGAGCAGGCUGGCUUCUGAAAGACUCCUCAACGCCUUUCCAGGGGGAAGCCACAAAGCACAACCAAGCUCUUCUUUGCUUUUGCCUUUUCUCCUCACCCUGGGCAGAUUCGGGAUGACAGGUCAGGGGUCCUUCCUGCAUGAACCACGCCUGAUCCAUCCUGGGCUGCCUCUGUCCAGGGUCUGUGCUGUAAUGGUGGCCCCGAAGGCGGAAGCAGGUCUGAGAUGGGAGGUGGGCCUCCCUCUCCUACAUACUUUCCCGUGAAGCCUCAAACCAGGGGGAUAUGGGGCCUGGGUCACCCCGGAGAGAUGGACCGGCCCCUGCAGCCCCGGCUGCCAAGUGGGAAUGCGGGCCCAGUUAGGCCAUGUCUUCCACGAGAAGCUGGAAAUGCAGCUUAUUGUGUUGGAAACAUCCGGAUCUUUAAAUGUCGGCAACUGUUAGUUUUUGCAACACUUUGGGAACCAAAGGAAACAUGUACAACCGUUGGGCUUGGGCCCCCCUGAACAUCAAAAGCAAAUGGCAAAACCAAAAUUAAUAAAGCUGCUUACCACCCCGUG